This 77-nucleotide transfer RNA is filed under the name Pseudomonas aeruginosa. Its description in RNAcentral is "tRNA-Val". It matches the Rfam family "tRNA". Rfam says of the family: Transfer RNA (tRNA) molecules are approximately 80 nucleotides in length. Their secondary structure includes four short double-helical elements and three loops (D, anti-codon, and T loops). The record is from RNAcentral. Lineage: Bacteria; Pseudomonadati; Pseudomonadota; Gammaproteobacteria; Pseudomonadales; Pseudomonadaceae. RNAcentral also lists the same sequence under 2 other names.
AGGCAUGUAGCUCAGUUGGUUAGAGCACCACCUUGACAUGGUGGGGGUCGUUGGUUCGAAUCCAAUCGUGCCUACCA